UGGCCAAGCAAACAUACAAGUUUAAGCGUACAACUCACCAAGAGAUGGAAUUGAUUGCAAGACUAAAUAAUCCAUAUAUUGUUGACUACAAAGAUGCUUGGGUUGAUAAGGGAAACAACAUAUGCAUUGUAACCAGCUACUGUGAAGGAGGGGACAUGGCUGAGCUUAUUAAAAGGCCCGAGGGAUGCACUUUCCCGAGGAGGUAAU
Long non-coding RNA from Hibiscus syriacus, 207 nucleotides. RefSeq lists it as uncharacterized. Lineage: Eukaryota; Viridiplantae; Streptophyta; Magnoliopsida; Malvales; Malvaceae. The transcript has 4 exons. The record is from RefSeq and is a predicted model, not a curated record.